UGGUGAAUGAUGAAGAGACGCUGGGCAAUCUGAGUUCUUGAGGACCAAGGAUGGAGUGUGUUCUGAGAACCAUGUAAGACAG
This is a non-coding RNA of Sorex araneus (European shrew), 82 nucleotides long. RefSeq annotates it as small Cajal body-specific RNA 18. Lineage: Eukaryota; Metazoa; Chordata; Mammalia; Eulipotyphla; Soricidae. The record is from RefSeq and is a predicted model, not a curated record. The transcript has a single exon.